Molecule: ribosomal RNA, 1370 nt
Filed under: uncultured bacterium
Lineage: Bacteria
Description: bacterial SSU rRNA
Rfam family: Bacterial small subunit ribosomal RNA
Source: RNAcentral
AGAGUUUGAUCCUGGCUCAGGACGAACGCUGGCGGCGCGCCUAACACAUGCAAGUCGAACGAGCGAGAGAGAGCUUGCUUUCUCGAGCGAGUGGCGAACGGGUGAGUAACGCGUGAGGAACCUGCCUCAAAGAGGGGGACAACAGUUGGAAACGACUGCUAAUACCGCAUAAGCCCACGGGUCGGCAUCGACCAGAGGGAAAAGGAGCAAUCCGCUUUGAGAUGGUCUCGCGUCCGAUUAGCUAGUUGGUGAGGUAACGGCCCACCAAGGCAACGAUCGGUAGCCGGACUGAGAGGUUGAACGGCCACAUUGGGACUGAGACACGGCCCAGACUCCUACGGGAGGCAGCAGUGGGGAAUAUUGCACAAUGGGGGAAACCCUGAUGCAGCGACGCCGCGUGGAGGAAGAAGGUCUUCGGAUUGUAAACUCCUGUUGUUGAGGAAGAUAAUGACGGUACUCAACAAGGAAGUGACGGCUAACUACGUGCCAGCAGCCGCGGUAAAACGUAGGUCACAAGCGUUGUCCGGAAUUACUGGGUGUAAAGGGAGCGCAGGCGGGAAGACAAGUUGGAAGUGAAAUCUAUGGGCUCAACCCAUAAACUGCUUUCAAAACUGUUUUUCUUGAGUAGUGCAGAGGUAGGCGGAAUUCCCGGUGUAGCGGUGGAAUGCGUAGAUAUCGGGAGGAACACCAGUGGCGAAGGCGGCCUACUGGGCACCAACUGACGCUGAGGCUCGAAAGUGUGGGUAGCAAACAGGAUUAGAUACCCUGGUAGUCCACACCGUAAACGAUGAUUACUAGGUGUUGGAGGAUUGACCCCUUCAGUGCCGCAGUUAACACAAUAAGUAAUCCACCUGGGGAGUACGACCGCAAGGUUGAAACUCAAAGGAAUUGACGGGGGCCCGCACAAGCAGUGGAGUAUGUGGUUUAAUUCGACGCAACGCGAAGAACCUUACCAAGUCUUGACAUCCUGCGACGCACAUAGAAAUAUGUGUUUCCUUCGGGACGCAGAGACAGGUGGUGCAUGGUUGUCGUCAGCUCGUGUCGUGAGAUGUUGGGUUAAGUCCCGCAACGAGCGCAACCCUUACUGUCAGUUACUACGCAAGAGGACUCUGGCAGGACUGCCGUUGACAAAACGGAGGAAGGUGGGGAUGACGUCAAAUCAUCAUGCCCUUUAUGACUUGGGCUACACACGUACUACAAUGGCGUUAAACAAAGAGAAGCAAGACCGCGAGGUGGAGCAAAACUCAGAAACAACGUCCCAGUUCGGACUGCAGGCUGCAACUCGCCUGCACGAAGUCGGAAUUGCUAGUAAUCGUGGAUCAGCAUGCCACGGUGAAUACGUUCCCGGGCCUUGUACACACCGCCCGUCA